UCCGGGGUAGCUCAACCGGCAGAGCGUUCGGCUGUUAACCGAAAUGUUGUGGGUUCGAGUCCCACCCCCGGAG
This 73-nucleotide transfer RNA is filed under the name Solirubrobacterales bacterium. RNAcentral describes it as "tRNA-Asn". It matches the Rfam family "tRNA". Rfam says of the family: Transfer RNA (tRNA) molecules are approximately 80 nucleotides in length. Lineage: Bacteria; Bacillati; Actinomycetota; Thermoleophilia; Solirubrobacterales. RNAcentral also lists the same sequence under 2 other names. The record is from RNAcentral.